GACAGAGGGGGCAAGCGUUGCUCGGAAUUACUGGGCGUAAAGGGCGCGUAGGCUGCGGGGCAAGUCGGGUGUGAAAUCUCAGAGCUCAACUCUGAAACUGCACUCGAUACUGCUUUGCUCGAGGACUGGAGAGGAGAUUGGAAUUCACGGUGUAGCAGUGAAAUGCGUAGAUAUCGUGAGGAAGACCAGUGGCGAAGGCGGAUCUCUGGACAGUUCCUGACGCUGAGGCGCGAAGGCCAGGGGAGCAAACGGG
RNAcentral lists this ribosomal RNA (253 nucleotides) under uncultured bacterium. Its description in RNAcentral is "partial 16S ribosomal RNA". It matches the Rfam family "Bacterial small subunit ribosomal RNA", at positions 524 to 776 of the family's 1533-position model. The record is from RNAcentral.